Molecule: ribosomal RNA, 540 nt
Filed under: Sulfitobacter undariae
Lineage: Bacteria; Pseudomonadati; Pseudomonadota; Alphaproteobacteria; Rhodobacterales; Roseobacteraceae
Description: bacterial SSU rRNA
Rfam family: Bacterial small subunit ribosomal RNA
Source: RNAcentral
CGGACGGGUUAGUAACGCGUGGGAACAUACCCAAUGGUACGGAAUAGCCUCGGGAAACUGAGAGUAAUACCGUAUGUGCCCUUCGGGGGAAAGAUUUAUCGCCAUUGGAUUGGCCCGCGUUAGAUUAGAUAGUUGGUGGGGUAAUGGCCUACCAAGUCUACGAUCUAUAGCUGGUUUUAGAGGAUGAUCAGCAACACUGGGACUGAGACACGGCCCAGACUCCUACGGGAGGCAGCAGUGGGGAAUCUUAGACAAUGGGCGCAAGCCUGAUCUAGCCAUGCCGCGUGUGUGAUGAAGGCCUUAGGGUCGUAAAGCACUUUCGCCAGAGAUGAUAAUGACAGUAUCUGGUAAAGAAACCCCGGCUAACUCCGUGCCAGCAGCCGCGGUAAUACGGAGGGGGUUAGCGUUGUUCGGAAUUACUGGGCGUAAAGCGUACGUAGGCGGAUCAGAAAGUAUGGGGUGAAAUCCCAGGGCUCAACCCUGGAACUGCCUCAUAAACUCCUGGUCUUGAGUUCGAGAGAGGUGAGUGGAAUUCCAAGU